GACGAACGCUGGCGGCGUGCUUAACACAUGCAAGUCGAACGGACAGACAGAGAGCUUGCUCUCUUGAAGUUAGUGGCGAACGGGUGAGUAACGCGUAAUCAACCUGCCCUUCAGAGGGGGAUAACAACGGGAAACCGUUGCUAAUACCGCGUACGAUUCAUGAACGGCAUCGUUUAUGAAUGAAAGGUGGCCUCUAUGUAUAAGCUAUCGCUGAAGGAGGGGAUUGCGUCUGAUUAGCGAGUUGGAGGGGUAACGGCCCACCAAGGCAAUGAUCGGUAGCCGGUCUGAGAGGAUGAACGGCCACAUUGGGACUGAGACACGGCCCAAACUCCUACGGGAGGCAGCAGUGGGGAAUCUUCCGCAAUGGACGAAAGUCUGACGGAGCAACGCCGCGUGAGUGAUGAAGGUCUUCGGAUUGUAAAGCUCUGUUAAUCGGGACGAAAGAGUUCUGCGUGAAUAAUGCAGAAAAGUGACGGUACCGGAAUAGAAAGCCACGGCUAACUACGUGCCAGCCGCCGCUGUAA
Molecule: ribosomal RNA, 524 nt
Filed under: uncultured bacterium
Lineage: Bacteria
Description: partial 16S ribosomal RNA
Rfam family: Bacterial small subunit ribosomal RNA
Source: RNAcentral